RNAcentral lists this ribosomal RNA (491 nucleotides) under uncultured bacterium. RNAcentral describes it as "partial 16S ribosomal RNA". It matches the Rfam family "Bacterial small subunit ribosomal RNA", at positions 29 to 506 of the family's 1533-position model. The record is from RNAcentral.
AGUGAACGCUGGCGGUAGGCCUAACACAUGCAAGUCGAACGGCAGCACAGUAAGAGCUUGCUCUUACGGGUGGCGAGUGGCGGACGGGUGAGGAAUACAUCGGAAUCUACUUUUUCGUGGGGGAUAACGUAGGGAAACUUACGCUAAUACCGCAUACGACCUACGGGUGAAAGCAGGGGAUCUUCGGACCUUGAGCGAUUGAAUGAGCCGAUGUCGGAUUAGCUAGUUGGCGGGGUAAAGGCCCACCAAGGCGACGAUCCGUAGCUGGUCUGAGAGGAUGAUCAGCCACACUGGAACUGAGACACGGUCCAGACUCCUACGGGAGGCAGCAGUGGGGAAUAUUGGACAAUGGGCGCAAGCCUGAUCCAGCCAUACCGCGUGGGUGAAGAAGGCCUUCGGGUUGUAAAGCCCUUUUGUUGGGAAAGAAAAGCAGCAGGUUAAUACCCCGCUGUUCUGACGGUACCCAAAGAAUAAGCACCGGCUAACUUCGU